RNAcentral lists this ribosomal RNA (491 nucleotides) under uncultured bacterium. RNAcentral's name for it is "partial 16S ribosomal RNA". It matches the Rfam family "Bacterial small subunit ribosomal RNA", at positions 29 to 507 of the family's 1533-position model. The record is from RNAcentral.
GUGAACGCUGGCGGUAGGCCUAACCCAUGCAAGUCGAACGGCAGCACAGUAAGAGCUUGCUCUUACGGGUGGCGAGUGGCGGACGGGUGAGGAAUACAUCGGAAUCUACUUUUUCGUGGGGGAUAACGUAGGGAAACUUACGCUAAUACCGCAUACGACCUACGGGUGAAAGCAGGGGAUCUUCGGACCUUGCGCGAUUGAAUUAGCCGAUGUCGGAUUAGCUAGUUGGCGGGGUAAAGGCCCACCAAGGCGACGAUCCGUAGCUGGUCUGAGAGGAUGAUCAGCCACACUGGAACUGAGACACGGUCCAGACUCCUACGGGAGGCAGCAGUGGGGAAUAUUGGACAAUGGGCGCAAGCCUGAUCCAGCCAUACCGCGUGGGUGAAGAAGGCCUUCGGGUUGUAAAGCCCUUUUGUUGGGAAAGAAAAGCAGCAGGUUAAUACCCCGCUGUUCUGACGGUACCCAAAGAAUAAGCACCGGCUAACUUCGUG